CCUGCCAAUGACUACAUGUUUAAUGGCCGCGGUAUAACUAACCGUGCAAAGGUAGCGCAAUCACUUGUCUUUUAAAUGAAGACCCGUAUGAAAGGCAAAACGAGGGCUUUACUGUCUCCUCUCUCCAGUCAAUGAAAUUGAUCUCCCCGUGCAGAAGCGGGGAUCAAAACAUAAGACGAGAAGACCCUGUGGAGCUUAAGACUAAAGGCAAAGUCCACUUAGACCCUAAAAUAAAAGAAUAAACAUGUCUUUUGCCCGUGUGUCUUUGGUUGGGGUGACCCCGGGAAAUAACAAAACUCCCGCGAAGACCGAGAAAACUUUUCUCACAAACAAGACCCGCCCGUCCACUUAACAGAACACCUGACUAAACUUUAACUAACGAUCCGGCCCCUGCCAAUUUAUGAACCAAGUUACCCCAGGGAUAACAGCGCAAUCCUCUUUUAGAGCCCCUAUCGACAAGGGGGUUUACGACCUCGAUGUUGGUUCAGGACUUCCCGAUGGUGCAGCCGCUAUCAAAGGUUCGUUUGUUCAACGAUUAAUAGUCCUACGUGAUCU
This 555-nucleotide ribosomal RNA is filed under the name Eucinostomus havana. Its description in RNAcentral is "partial 16S ribosomal RNA". It matches the Rfam family "Bacterial large subunit ribosomal RNA", at positions 1905 to 2606 of the family's 2925-position model. The record is from RNAcentral. Lineage: Eukaryota; Metazoa; Chordata; Actinopteri; Gerreiformes; Gerreidae.